AACGAACGCUGGCGGCAUGCCUAACACAUGCAAGUCGAACGAGACCUUCGGGCCUAGUGGCGCACGGGUGCGUAACGCGUGGGAACCUGCCCUUAGGUUCGGAAUAACUCCCCGAAAGGGGUGCUAAUACCGGAGAAUGUCUUCGGACCAAAGAUUUAUCGCCUUUGGAUGGGCCCGCGUUGGAUUAGCUAGUUGGUAGGGUAAAAGCCUACCAAGGCGACGAUCCAUAGCUGGUCUGAGAGGAUGAUCAGCCACACUGGGCCUGAGACACGGCCCAGACUCCUACGGGAGGCAGCAGUGGGGAAUAUUGGACAAUGGGCGCAAGCCUGAUCCAGCCAUGCCGCGUGAGUGAUGAAGGCCUUAGGGUUGUAAAGCUCUUUUACCCGGGAUGAUAAUGACGGUACCGGGAGAAUAAGCUCCGGCUAACUCCGUG
This 433-nucleotide ribosomal RNA is filed under the name uncultured bacterium. Its description in RNAcentral is "partial 16S ribosomal RNA". It matches the Rfam family "Bacterial small subunit ribosomal RNA", at positions 29 to 507 of the family's 1533-position model. The record is from RNAcentral.